UACGUAGGGGUCUAGCGUUGUCCGGAAUUAUUGGGCGUAAAGGGCGCGUAGGCGGCCACCGCAAGUCGACUGUGAAAUCUCCGGGCUUAACCCGGAAAGGUCAGCCGAUACUGCGGGGCUAGAGUGCAGAAGGGGCAACUGGAAUUCUCGGUGUAGCGGUGAAAUGCGUAGAUAUCGAGAGGAACACCUGCGGCGAAGGCGGGUUGCUGGGCUGACACUGACGCUGAGGCGCGAAAGCUAGGGGAGCGAACGGG
RNAcentral lists this ribosomal RNA (254 nucleotides) under uncultured bacterium. Its description in RNAcentral is "partial 16S ribosomal RNA". It matches the Rfam family "Bacterial small subunit ribosomal RNA", at positions 524 to 776 of the family's 1533-position model. The record is from RNAcentral.